Denticeps clupeoides (denticle herring) is the source of this 633-nucleotide long non-coding RNA. The record is from Ensembl. Lineage: Eukaryota; Metazoa; Chordata; Actinopteri; Clupeiformes; Denticipitidae.
UCCGUCAGGCUUUUUUUUUUUUUUUUUUUAAAUCGUUUUAACUUUUGUCUCCUCUCUCUGUUUCUUUUGUUCUUUUCUUUUUAGUGCCUUCUGCUCCCCGCGCUGAUGGAGAAGUGUCGCAGGAGGCCAUUACUGCCUGACCACGUGACCGCAGAAAUCGCCACCCGACCCCCUGCCCCCCGAGUGACACCUUUGAUAGCAUAGAAGAUGUUCCACCGCACAGAUGGGUCCGUGAGUCCAUGUCCUCAUCCAUCACGCCUGAUGCGAGGCUGAUGCCUCUGCACAAAGACGUUACUGAGAUUGGAAAUGAAGGGAGGCCGAUUGGCAAAAAUCUAUGGUGCGAUAACAGGAUGCCAUGAGGUCCAGCUGGAGGGUGAGAGGACCAUGGAUUUGUGGGGGUCUGCCUUCCUGCUGGUUUACCAGUGACCUUCUCAACAGGAGGACCUUCACACCUGGACCACCAGGUGCUUUCUCUGGAACCCAGAACAAAGCAGAAGAUCCCUGUCAUGUAAACACAUGUAGGAAUGACAGAAGGCAAGGACACAGACCAGAGUGGAGGGCUGAAGAUGGCACCACAACGGCUACAUGCACACGUCACCACCAACUACAAAGCAGACAUACAAGCCCCUGUCU